UCCGUAGGGUGAACCUGCGGAAGGAUCAUU
Molecule: ribosomal RNA, 30 nt
Filed under: Aspergillus tubingensis
Lineage: Eukaryota; Fungi; Ascomycota; Eurotiomycetes; Eurotiales; Aspergillaceae
Also listed under: 4 other names
Description: partial 18S ribosomal RNA
Source: RNAcentral